UCCCAGACUCCUACGGGAGGCAGCAGUGAGGAAUAUUGGUCAAUGGGCGGAAGCCUGAACCAGCCAAGUCGCGUGAGGGAAGAAGGCCCUGCGGGUCGCAGACCUCUUUGGACGGGGAGCAAGGCCGCCGACGUGUCGGCGGAAGGAGAGUACCCGUAGAACAAGCCACGGCUAACUACGUGCCAGCAGCCGCGGUAAUACGUAGGGGGCAAGCGUUAUCCGGAUUUACUGGGUGUAAAGGGAGCGUAGACGGCAGUGCAAGUCUGGAGUGAAAGGCGGGGGCUCAACCCCCGGACUGCUCUGGAAACUGUACGGCUGGAGUGCAGGAGAGGUAAGUGGAAUUCCUAGUGUAGCGGUGAAAUGCGUAGAUAUUAGGAGGAACACCAGUGGCGAAGGCGGCUUACUGGACUGUAACUGACGUUGAGGCUCGAAAGCGUGGGGAGCAAACAGGAUUAGAUACCCGAGUA
This 467-nucleotide ribosomal RNA is filed under the name uncultured bacterium. RNAcentral describes it as "bacterial SSU rRNA". It matches the Rfam family "Bacterial small subunit ribosomal RNA", at positions 329 to 792 of the family's 1533-position model. The record is from RNAcentral.